Molecule: ribosomal RNA, 491 nt
Filed under: uncultured bacterium
Lineage: Bacteria
Description: partial 16S ribosomal RNA
Rfam family: Bacterial small subunit ribosomal RNA
Source: RNAcentral
AGUGAACGCUGGCGGUAGGCCUAACACAUGCAAGUCGAACGGCAGCACAGUAAGAGCUUGCUCUUACGGGUGGCGAGUGGCGGACGGGUGGGGAAUACAUCGGAAUCUACUUUUUCGUGGGGGAUAACGUAGGGAAACUUACGCUAAUACCGCAUACGACCUACGGGUGAAAGCAGGGGAUCUUCGGACCUUGCGCGAUUGAAUGAGCCGAUGUCGGAUUAGCUAGUUGGCGGGGUAAAGGCCCACCAAGGCGACGAUCCGUAGCUGGUCUGAGAGGAUGAUCAGCCACACUGGAACUGAGACACGGUCCAGACUCCUACGGGAGGCAGCAGUGGGGAAUAUUGGACAAUGGGCGCAAGCCUGAUCCAGCCAUACCGCGUGGGUGAAGAAGGCCUUCGGGUUGUAAAGCCCUUUUGUUGGGAAAGAAAAGCAGCAGGUUAAUACCCCGCUGUUCUGACGGUACCCAAAGAAUAAGCACCGGCGAACUUCGU